Molecule: ribosomal RNA, 253 nt
Filed under: uncultured bacterium
Lineage: Bacteria
Description: partial 16S ribosomal RNA
Rfam family: Bacterial small subunit ribosomal RNA
Source: RNAcentral
UACGUAGGGGGCUAGCGUUGUCCGGAUUUAUUGGGCGUAAAGAGCGUGUAGGCGGCCAGGUAGGUCUGCUGUGAAAACUCGAGGCUCAACCUCGAGACGUCGGCGGAAACCAUCUGGCUAGAGUCCGGAAGAGGAGAGUGGAAUUCCUGGUGUAGCGGUGAAAUGCGCAGAUAUCAGGAAGAACACCCGUGGCGAAGGCGGCUCUCUGGGACGGUACUGACGCUGAGAAGCGAAAGCAUGGGGAGCGAACAGG